CAUCAGCACUAAUAGACUGAGGACUUCUGCAGAAAGUGAAGAUUUCUUCUUACAGGAUCAAACUGCAGUUCAUGAGAUUUUGAAGCAGAGGCCACAGAUGCAUGUAGGUGCAUAAGGAAUCCAUGAGAAGGUGCCCAAGUGUGGGACCCUGGGUCGAUGCCAGUCAAUCAGGAUAUUUAUCUGGAAACCACCCUGCAAUUUGGAACUCCAGUAAACGGCAGUGUCAACAAUGAGGCAGGCCCCCACCCCACUUUUGCUGGACUAUCUUCUCCAUCUCCACAGAAACACAAACAAAAUGGAAGGAAGGAAAAGACACAAUAGGCAAAAUGUUAGGGAACAUUUGCCUUUUAGAGUUCCUGGCAGCUUUUCUGUUUAGGGGUACAAUUAUUGGGACAUUUAAAAUAUCAUAAGCAAGUAAGACGAAUGCUUUCUGGAAUUGGCACAACAUAGCCCAUCUACUCAUUUUAUAGAUAAGGAAACUGAGUCCCAGGUUAAGUCCGCAGAAGACAGGAAAAGAAUCAAAGCUGGUGAGAACAGAAUGAAUUAUCUGGGCAUUGCUGGAGGUGAGGCAAAAGACUGAAUGGGGAGCAGUUAGCAGCAGCAGGAGGCAGAUUUCACUAGUAAAAGAUUAUUAACAUUUGGUACUGCAUGUCAGUGAUAAAAUGAGCUAUGGUAUUAGUCAGGACUCGCUAGAGAAAUGGAAACAGUAAGACAUAUGUCUUACCAUAUAGUGACUCAUACAACUACGGAGGCUGCAAAGUCUCACUGUCUGCGAUCUGCAGCUUGGGGACUCAGGGAAGCUGGAGGUGUCAUUUAAAGCCCCGAGAGCCAGAGAGCCAGUGACAUGGGUUUCAAUCAGGGUCGGAAGUCCAGAGAACCAGGAGCACCGAAGGCAGGAGAGGAUGGAUGUCCUAGAUCAAGUAAGUAGGCAGAAGGAGUUCAAGAUUCCUGGACUUAUUUGCUCUAUUCGGGCCUUCAGUGGAUGGAUGGUGUUUUCCAACCCUGGGGAGGGCAGUACACUUAACUCAAUGAAUGCAUUGGUCUAAGAACACUUACGCAGGCCACCAAGAAGUGAUAUUCACCCAGCUCUCUGGAAGCCACAGCAGCACUUAGAAACUGGCUCACUAGCUAAUGGGGGAUGCUUUUAAACAUGGAGAAAGAAACUGGUGAGGUGAGAAGAGGGAUGCCUGGCCUGAGGACCCUUUAUGAACUCUUCCAAGUCUCUGCUUCUAACACGUGGUAAAGCAGCCAGCAAAAGGAAGUCAGAAUUCUUAUGUGAGUCACAUCAAUUCACCUGUUUCUGCAGCCAGUUCAAACUGCAGAGGCGGGAAGAUGGCAAAGAAGGGCAUUUGGAGUUCAAACCGCAAUGUCACCGCUCCCCGGCUGUGUGAUUCCAGGAAAAUCAUUGGCUGAGUCUCUCUGCCCUUGUUCCAAACAGGGCCUGUGUUGACUGAAUAAGAUAAUGUAUGUGUGAAGUCUUCUGAUAACUUGAUUAAUAAUAAUUAAAGAUGGAAAAUAGCAGCCAAACAUAGA
Long non-coding RNA from Fukomys damarensis (Damara mole-rat), 1533 nucleotides. RefSeq lists it as uncharacterized. NCBI's taxonomy places the organism in Eukaryota, Metazoa, Chordata, Mammalia, Rodentia, Bathyergidae. The transcript has 3 exons. The record is from RefSeq and is a predicted model, not a curated record.